CCCUUAGACGCUCUAGGCGGCACGCGCGCUACAAUGGGUGGUAGAACGUGUAACUGCCCCCGAAAGGGAGGGUGAACCACGAAUACUUACCCGUGAAUGGGAUAGUUUGUUGCAAUUUUCGGACUUGAACUAGGAAUCCCUUGUAAGAAUGCUCAAGAAUAGCGUGCUGAAUACGUCCCUGCCGUUUGUACACACCGCCCGUCGUUUCUUCCGACUGAUACUCAUUGUGAGUUGCAAGGAUUCUUAUUGAAAAAUUGCUGCGAAUGCUUUGUAUUGGAGGAAGAAAAAGUCGUAACA
Molecule: ribosomal RNA, 297 nt
Filed under: uncultured eukaryote
Lineage: Eukaryota
Description: partial 18S ribosomal RNA
Rfam family: Eukaryotic small subunit ribosomal RNA
Source: RNAcentral